This 71-nucleotide transfer RNA is filed under the name Cavia porcellus (domestic guinea pig). It matches the Rfam family "tRNA". Rfam says of the family: Transfer RNA (tRNA) molecules are approximately 80 nucleotides in length. Their secondary structure includes four short double-helical elements and three loops (D, anti-codon, and T loops). Further hydrogen bonds mediate the characteristic L-shaped molecular structure. tRNAs have two regions of fundamental functional importance: the anti-codon, which is responsible for specific mRNA codon recognition, and the 3' end, to which the tRNAs corresponding amino acid is attached (by aminoacyl-tRNA synthetases). tRNAs cope with the degeneracy of the genetic code in two manners: having more than one tRNA (with a specific anti-codon) for a particular amino acid; and 'wobble' base-pairing, i.e. permitting non-standard base-pairing at the 3rd anti-codon position. The record is from Rfam by way of RNAcentral. Lineage: Eukaryota; Metazoa; Chordata; Mammalia; Rodentia; Caviidae.
GGGGAUUUAGCUUAGCGGCAUAAGCGCCUGCCUUGCAAGCAGGCGGUUGUGAGUUCAAUCCAUGGUACCGA